GUGGGGAAUAUUCCGCAAUGGACGAAAGUCUGACGGAGCAACGCCGCGUGAGUGAUGAAGGUUUUCGGACUGUAAAGCUCUGUUGUUUGGGACGAAAGUGCCUGUUGCGAACAGUUACGGGUAUUGACGGUACUAAACGAGGAAGCCACGACUAACUACGUGCCAGCAGCCGCGGUAAUACGUAGGUGGCAAGCGUUGUCCGGAAUUAUUGGGCGUAAAGAGCAUGUAGGCGGGAAUCUAAGUCUGUUGUUAAAAUGCGGGGCUCAACACCGGAUUGCGAUGGAAACUGGGUUUCUUGAGUGCAGGAGAGGAAAGGGGAAUUCCCAGUGUAGCGGUGAAAUGCGUAGAUAUUGGGAGGAACACCAGUGGCGAAGGCGCCUUUCUGGACUGUGUCUGACGCUGAGAUGCGAAAGCCAGGGUAGCGAACGGGAUUAGAUACCCUGGUAGUCC
This 450-nucleotide ribosomal RNA is filed under the name uncultured bacterium. RNAcentral's name for it is "partial 16S ribosomal RNA". It matches the Rfam family "Bacterial small subunit ribosomal RNA", at positions 354 to 796 of the family's 1533-position model. The record is from RNAcentral.